GUUAAGUAGACCGCCUGGGGAGUACGGUCGCAAGAUUAAAACUCAAAUGAAUUGACGGGGGCCCGCACAAGCGGUGGAGCAUGUGGUUUAAUUCGAUGCAACGCGAAGAACCUUACCUACUCUUGACAUCCAGAGAAYUUUCCAGAGAUGGAUUGGUGCCUUCGGGAACUCUGAGACAGGUGCUGCAUGGCUGUCGUCAGCUCGUGUUGUGAAAUGUUGGGUUAAGUCCCGCAACGAGCGCAACCCUUAUCCUUGUUUGCCAGCGAGUAAUGUCGGGAACUCCAGGGAGACUGCCGGUGAUAAACCGGAGGAAGGUGGGGACGACGUCAAGUCAUCAUGGCCCUUACGAGUAGGGCUACACACGUGCUACAAUGGCGCAUACAGAGGGCGGCCAACUUGCGAAAGUGAGCGAAUCCCAAAAAGUGCGUCGUAGUCCGGAUUGGAGUCUGCAACUCGACUCCAUGAAGUCGGAAUCGCUAGUAAUCGUGGAUCAGAAUGCCACGGUGAAUACGUUCCCGGGCCUUGUACACACCGCCCGUCACACCAUGGGAGUGGGCUGCAAAAGAAGUAGGUAG
Molecule: ribosomal RNA, 575 nt
Filed under: Vibrio sp. PID43_49
Lineage: Bacteria; Pseudomonadati; Pseudomonadota; Gammaproteobacteria; Vibrionales; Vibrionaceae
Description: bacterial SSU rRNA
Rfam family: Bacterial small subunit ribosomal RNA
Source: RNAcentral